CAGAGGUCCCGAGCGUUGUUCGGAUUCACUGGGCGUAAAGGGUGCGUAGGUGGCGAGGUAAGUCGGAUGUGAAAUCUCGGAGCUCAACUCCGAAAUGGCAUUGGAAACUACCUUGCUCGAGGGUUGGAGGGGGACGUGGAAUACUUGGUGUAGCAGUGAAAUGCGUAGAUAUCAAGUGGAACACCAGUGGCGAAGGCGAGUCCCUGGACAACUCCUGACACUGAGGCACGAAAGACUAGGGGAGGCAAACAGGAUUAGAUACCCUGGUAGUCCUAGCCGUAAACGGUGCAUGUUUGCUGUAAAAGGAUUCGACCCCUUUUGUGGCGUAGCCAACGCGUUAACAUGCCGCCUGGGAAGUACGGUCGCAAGGUU
This 372-nucleotide ribosomal RNA is filed under the name uncultured organism. Its description in RNAcentral is "bacterial SSU rRNA". It matches the Rfam family "Bacterial small subunit ribosomal RNA", at positions 526 to 895 of the family's 1533-position model. The record is from RNAcentral.